RNAcentral lists this ribosomal RNA (870 nucleotides) under Triticum aestivum (bread wheat). RNAcentral's name for it is "partial small subunit ribosomal RNA". The record is from RNAcentral. Lineage: Eukaryota; Viridiplantae; Streptophyta; Magnoliopsida; Poales; Poaceae.
AUGGACUCCAGGGAAUUCCUUGGGAGGGGUCCCUACCACGCGUGGACCAAACGGGAGUUGUGCAACGCCGCUGACUUCCACCUUGUUGUCUGCGAUCCGCUGUCCCGCGGGUUUGUGCUCCUUCCAACAAUACCCGAAGACCUCGCCGCCCUGCCACAAGACCGCCUUCGGGCAUUCGAGCCCGUGCUUGCUCCCGCAACCGGCGACGAGCCCUUCGAGGUGAUAUGUGUGGCAAGAUACGAGACAAAGCUCGUCAUCUUUGUGUUCCCGUCCACAACUAUGCAAUGGUGUAUGGUUGAGUCCCCUGUCGUCCCUUCUUGGCACGUCAUGUCCUGUUUUGACUGCGUGGGAAACUGCUUCUACUGGACAGACCGUUAUCACUGGACUAACCAUUUGAUGGUGCUGGACACACGUACUUUGAGGUUUUCAACCGUCAAUUUUCCCACUGGCUACCAUUUGGAGCUCAGAGGUGCUGACCUGAGCAUUGGUCAUGAUUGGCGUCCGAAUGCAGUUGUUGUGGGUAGAGAAGGAGCCAUUGAGAUGUUUUCUCUUGUCUCUCAGCAUAGAUCCUUUGCUCUCCAUCAUACCUCUCUGCAGGAUAAUACUAAUGAAUGGAAGCUGGAGAAGAUCGUAUAGCUAGCUGGGCAGGGUCAUGGCUAUUCCAUUUCCACAGUGGGUGCGGCCGAGGGAUUCUUGUUCUUCCAAGGCGUUCCUGCCGGCCAUGAGCUUGAGAAUUUUGAUUAUUAUUCAAUGGAGGUCAAAACAUAUGAGAUUACCACGGAUCCUUUUCUGACCCAACAAAAAACAUGCCAGCUACGUGCAUGUGUGUGUAUCGUACGACUCACUUGGCAUCAACCCAACAGAAAAUGA